CCCAGACUCCUACGGGAGGCAGCAGUGGGGAAUAUUGCACAAUGGGCGAAAGCCUGAUGCAGCGACGCCGCGUGAGUGAAGAAGUAUUUCGGUAUGUAAAGCUCUAUCAGCAGGGAAGAAAAUGACGGUACCUGACUAAGAAGCCCCGGCUAACUACGUGCCAGCAGCCGCGGUAAUACGUAGGGGGCAAGCGUUAUCCGGAUUUACUGGGUGUAAAGGGAGUGUAGGUGGCAUAACAAGUCAGAAGUGAAAGCCUGGGGCUCAACCGCGGGACUGCUUUGGAAACUGUAUGGCUGGAGUACUGGAGAGGAAAGCGGAAUUCCGAGUGUAGCGGUGAAAUGCGUAGAUAUUAGGAAGAACACCAGUGGCGAAGGCGGCUUGCUGGACAGUAACUGACGUUGAGGCUCGAAAGCGUGGGGAGCAAACAGGAUUAGAUAUCCUCGUA
This 445-nucleotide ribosomal RNA is filed under the name uncultured bacterium. Its description in RNAcentral is "bacterial SSU rRNA". It matches the Rfam family "Bacterial small subunit ribosomal RNA", at positions 330 to 792 of the family's 1533-position model. The record is from RNAcentral.